Long non-coding RNA from Beta vulgaris subsp. vulgaris (sugar beet), 2586 nucleotides. RefSeq lists it as uncharacterized. The transcript is spliced from 3 exons. NCBI's taxonomy places the organism in Eukaryota, Viridiplantae, Streptophyta, Magnoliopsida, Caryophyllales, Amaranthaceae. The record is from RefSeq and is a predicted model, not a curated record.
UGAGAGCUAUCCAAAAACACAACCUGACUGAUUUCUAUUUCUUACCUAUGGCCUAUGUAUGGGUGUAGUUGAAAGCUAUAAUUAAUUUUUAUUGAUAUUGUUGCCCUCUCACACGGAAAGUGAUAUGAGUACAACACAUGUAACCGUCCAAUAUUGUCGCCCAUAAAACGAAGUUCAUCCAACCCACUACGACCUUAUUAAGGGUGUUUUUUUUUUUUUUGAUUCAUAUGAGCCACGAAGGCGGUACAAAUUACAAAGAAGGGGAGGGGGGAAUCGAACCUGUGACCUAUCGAUCACAGCACCUCAAUCUUAACCACUAGGCCAAGACAUCUUUGAUUAUAAGGGCGUUUUCUUUAAUAGUAGUUGAAAUAGCUUUUAGUUCCUAUUUUUUUUGGAUUGAAAUAAAUGAACUGAACUUAUAUUGGAUUAAAUGAUGAAAAGCAAAGCAUCAUGUUUUAGAAGGGUAUGGUGCUUUGAACUUGUAUCUAUAUAUGAACUAUACUAUGUUGCUGUUGAACUUAUAUUUGGGCUUUCAUUAUUUUGUUAGAAGAAAACAAAAAAACAUGUGUUACUAUUGUGUACUCUUAUAUUGGGCUUUCACGUUGUACCUUACGAUUGUUUCAUUUAGGAAUGCUAUGACAUAUAAACAUGUGCUUCUUGCAUUACCACAACAAAUCUUAAAUUAAUUAUAGUAGUUCAAUUUAAUGUAGACACCUUUAAAGUAUUCAAUCUAGUAUUUGGUGUAAUUAUACCUGGCACUUCUCUUUGGGCUAAAAACAUGCAAAUGGUUCAUUAAAUGACUAAGUUUGACAAUUGAACACAUUUCUUUCUGUGACCAGAAGUGCUUUGUGACUCUCUUUACUUGUUGUUUACUUCCGUCUAUAAUCCCUCUUCUUCCCUCCCUCCUAACACUCCUUAGAAGGUAAAGGUCAUGAGUUGCAAUUAGUUGGAAAGCUCUGACGUAGAUAUAAAUGUAGUGUAAAGGCGAAUCACUUUUCUCUGUAUGACAAUGAUGAACACAAAUUAGAGAAUGCGUCAAAUACAAUCCAGAUUGGCAUUUCAAGCAGUUGUUGGAGUACUGAAAAUUGGAUAUAAUUCAGGAAGAAAGUGAAAAGAAAAGGAAAAGCAGCAUAAACCAAAAGGAUAGAGACACUAUGGUCCUAGCUUUGCAAGGAAGAACUAUGGAUUGGUAAAAUCAAAUACACAAUAUAUGAUAAUUCAUUUUUUCAUUUUCAACAUUCACAUAUGCUCACUAAAAUUUGAAGUUCUUCAAUGUGUUUAAUAUGUAUAUAUCUCCAUGAAAGCAACAACGUGAUCAUGAGAAGAAGCUACCAUCACAAGCAUUUGCAUACAAAGAAAGCCGCAAAAGGAACGAGGGCAAUGAAUGUAAAUUACCUUAUGAGCAUCUUCAAAUUAACAUUAAUAAGAUGGAGGAGAUAGAAGUGCAAUAUAGAAAUGAUGGUGCAGAUUCUAGAGCAAUGACAGAAUUAAAAAAAAAGUUAGUAAAGAAGAGGAAUAAAGCUUCUUUGGGUGAAUCUAUAUUUCUUGACGAGUUUUUAAUUAUUUUUUUUUUUUACGGGUAACAAAAGAAGAAGAAUUUUUGUAGACGGAAAAAUGUGUUCUUGGAUCUAAACAUCUCUAGACACAGAACAUUUUUUAGUAGACAAAUCAUACACCUUAUAUCCUUUUUUACUAGGAGGAUAACCCAUGAAUAGACAUUUAGUAGCUCCAGGGCUGAACUUGUCUCUUUUCCAAUCUGUAUUAUGAACAAAACACAAACAAUCAAAGACCUAAUAAAACUAUAAUCAGGGAUAGUAUUUGUCAAAACUUCAAAGGGACUUUUCUAAUUUAGAAUAGGUGUGGGAAUUUAUUUUUUUUGCUAAUUAAGUAAGAUUUUCAUUCCUUCAAACUGUUAAUACACCUAAGCUAACCAAAGUUAACGAACCAACUAGGUUGGACCCUUAACAAUGCUAGCAAACCCAUCAAUACAACAGUUUUACUUCAUUACAAUUACAAGAACCAAUUAAAAUAUGUUCUACUAAUAUUCCCGGGCAUUAUAGCUCCAAUUCUAGCUCUCACACUCUGUUUGAUUUGCUUAAUACUCCACUCUAUACUUGGACUACUUUGUUACCAGUACACCUUAUUUCUCCCUUUCCAGACUUGGUAUACCACUGCAGUAAUUCCUACAUACCACCUCUUUUCUGAACUUCGAAUUUCUACUAUUCUUCACCCAGUUGAGGAGUCUUUCAAAAUCAGUGGUGAUUGCUUGAAUGUUUAGCCAUAGUUUCACACCCUUCAAACAUGCCUCACUAUAUAUGCACUGAAAAAACAAAUGACAAUGAUUCUCCUCUGCAUCUGCACAUAAUAAACAUUGAUCUGAAUUUCUUAUGCCCAUUCUAGCUAAUCUUGCAGUAGUUUGCAAUCUCUUCUGUAUGGCCAUCCAUUCAAUAAAUCUAUGCUUAUAGAUAACCUAUUCCAUAUAGCUUUAGCCCACACCACCUCAGGUCUUCCCCUCUAAUCUUAUCAUACACAUCUUGUAUAGAAUAGUCAGCCAUCUCACACAUCUCCCUUUCUGUAUAAAGAGUU